AGAUAGGAACUAUAUACUAAUUAAAUUUAUAUAACCAUGCCUUUUAAUGGAUGCUCAAACGAGAAGGUUUAUGGUAUCAAUGCUAAGGUUAUGUAGCAGCUUCUUUCAUGGCUUCAUCAGCAUGCGAGAACUUUUUAGGGAUUCUUUGAGCUAUAAUUAAAUAAACAAAUGAUACCCCCUCCAUAACACAAAUUGACCCUUCAGGUCUUGAGUGAAGCCAAGUUGGGUGUAUUUAUAGAAGAUGUUGCUUUGAUGUCUUCUACUUUGUUCAAGUCUUGGUUGGAAGAAUGGGCAGGAGUUUUAUCGUCAUGAUGUAUAUUGUUGAGUGUAAUCAGAUGAGUAAGUGGCAGGUUGACAUCAAAGUAUACUUGUAUCACAAAUGGGUCAAGCCGUUACAGAUCAUUAUCGUUGUGUUUACUUAAUUGUCGAAUCAGUCUAAUGUCAUAAAGGCUUAUCUGUUUCAUUUAUGCUAAAGGAACGUAAACUAUUUUUAUUUU
Molecule: long non-coding RNA, 497 nt
Organism: Helianthus annuus (common sunflower)
Lineage: Eukaryota; Viridiplantae; Streptophyta; Magnoliopsida; Asterales; Asteraceae
Exons: 3
Source: RefSeq, a predicted model, not a curated record